GGGGCUGUAGCUCAGUUGGGAGAGCGCUUGAAUGGCAUUCAAGAGGUCGUUGGUUCGAUCCCGAUCAGCUCCACCA
RNAcentral lists this transfer RNA (76 nucleotides) under bacterium BMS3Bbin08. Its description in RNAcentral is "tRNA-Ala". It matches the Rfam family "tRNA". Rfam says of the family: Transfer RNA (tRNA) molecules are approximately 80 nucleotides in length. Their secondary structure includes four short double-helical elements and three loops (D, anti-codon, and T loops). The record is from RNAcentral.